This 382-nucleotide ribosomal RNA is filed under the name uncultured eukaryote. RNAcentral describes it as "partial 18S ribosomal RNA". It matches the Rfam family "Eukaryotic small subunit ribosomal RNA", at positions 592 to 976 of the family's 1831-position model. The record is from RNAcentral.
UGUAAGCGUAUACCAAAGUUGUUGCAGUUAAAACGCUCGUAGUCGGAAUUUGGCAGUUCCGGAUGUGUGCACGUCGUGUGCGCACUUCGCGGGGAUUGCUUUUGUGGUCUUGCGUAGGAUGAGGCACUUUUAUUAGUGAACGUCCUCACGCAACCACUUUUUACUGUGAGAAAAUCAGAGUGCUCAAAGCAGGCAUUUGCCGUGAAUGUAUUAGCAUGGAAUAAUAGAAUAGGACUUGGUUCUAUUUUGUUGGUUUGUUGGGACUGAGUAAUGAUUAAGAGGGACAGUUGGGGGCAUUGGUAUUUCGGUGCUAGAGGUGAAAUUCUUAGAUUACCGAAAGACAAACUGCUGCGAAAGCGUCUGCCAAGGAUGUUUUCAUUGA